This 443-nucleotide ribosomal RNA is filed under the name uncultured bacterium. RNAcentral's name for it is "partial 16S ribosomal RNA". It matches the Rfam family "Bacterial small subunit ribosomal RNA", at positions 338 to 795 of the family's 1533-position model. The record is from RNAcentral.
CCUACGGGUGGCUGCAGUGGGGAAUAUUGGGCAAUGGGCGCAAGCCUGACCCAGCAACGCCGCGUGAAGGAAGAAGGCUUUCGGGUUGUAAACUUCUUUUAUGAGUGACGAAAGAAAUGACGGUACCUCAUGAAUAAGCCACGGCUAACUACGUGCCAGCAGCCGCGGUAAUACGUAGGUGGCAAGCGUUAUCCGGAUUUACUGGGUGUAAAGGGCGUGUAGGCGGGACUGCAAGUCAGAUGUGAAAUCCCGCGGCUCAACCGCGGAACUGCAUUUGAAACUGUUUUUCUUGAGUACCGGAGAGGUCAUCGGAAUUCCUUGUGUAGCGGUGAAAUGCGUAGAUAUAAGGAAGAACACCAGUGGCGAAGGCGGAUGACUGGACGGCAACUGACGGUGAGGCGCGAAAGCGUGGGGAGCAAACAGGAUUAGAUACCCGUGUAGUC